GACAUGAGUGACAUCACCUUGGGAAUGUCCCCUGGCUGCUGGCAGGUUUGGGACACGGGUGACACCACCCUGGCAUUGUCCCCUGGCUGCGGGAAGGUUUGGGACACGGGUGACACCACCCUGGCAUUGUCCCCUGGCUGCGGGAAGGUUUGGGACACGGGAGACACCACCCUGGGAACCUCGCCGGGAUUCAAGCCCAGCCUCGCCGGGAUUCAAGCCCAGCCUCGCCGGGAUUCAAGCCCAGCCUCGCCGGGAUUCAAGCCCAGCCUCGCCGGGAUUCAAGCCCAGCCUCGCCGGGAUUCAAGCCCAGCCUCGCCGGGAUUCAAGCCCAGCCUCGCCGGGAUUCAAGCCCAGCCUCGCCGGGAUUCAAGCCCAGCCUCGCCGGGAUUCAAGCCCAGCCUCGCCGGGAUUCAAGCCCAGCCUCGCCGGGAUUCAAGCCCAGCCUCGCCGGGAUUCAAGCCCAGCCUCGCCGGGAUUCAAGCCCAGCCUCGCCGGGAUUCAAGCCCAGCCUCGCCGGGAUUCAAGCCCAGCCUCGCCGGGAUUCAAGCCCAGCCUCGCCGGGAUUCAAGCCCAGCCUCGCCGGGAUUCAAGCCCAGCCUCGCCGGGAUUCAAGCCCAGCCUCGCCGGGAUUCAAGCCCAGCCUCGCCGGGAUUCAAGCCCAGCCUCGCCGGGAUUCAAGCCCAGCCUCGCCGGGAUUCAAGCCCAGCCUCGCCGGGAUUCAAGCCCAGCCUCGCCGGGAUUCAAGCCCAGCCUCGCCGGGAUUCAAGCCCAGCCUCGCCGGGAUUCAAGCCCAGCCUCGCCGGGAUUCAAGCCCAGCCUCGCCGGGAUUCAAGCCCAGCCUCGCCGGGAUUCAAGCCCAGCCUCGCCGGGAUUCAAGCCCAGCCUCGCCGGGAUUCAAGCCCAGCCUCGCCGGGAUUCAAGCCCAGCCUCGCCGGGAUUCAAGCCCAGCCUCGCCGGGAUUCAAGCCCAGCCUCGCCGGGAUUCAAGCCCAGCCUCGCCGGGAUUCAAGCCCAGCCUCGCCGGGAUUCAAGCCCAGCCUCGCCGGGAUUCAAGCCCAGCCUCGCCGGGAUUCAAGCCCAGCCUCGCCGGGAUUCAAGCCCAGCCUCGCCGGGAUUCAAGCCCAGCCUCGCCGGGAUUCAAGCCCAGCCUCGCCGGGAUUCAAGCCCAGCCUCGCCGGGAUUCAAGCCCAGCCUCGCCGGGAUUCAAGCCCAGCCUCGCCGGGAUUCAAGCCCAGCCUCGCCGGGAUUCAAGCCCAGCCUCGCCGGGAUUCAAGCCCAGCCUCGCCGGGAUUCAAGCCCAGCCUCGCCGGGAUUCAAGCCCAGCCUCGCCGGGAUUCAAGCCCAGCCUCGCCGGGAUUCAAGCCCAGCCUCGCCGGGAUUCAACCCCAGCUUCGCCGGGAUUCAAGCCCAGCCUCGCCGGGAUUUCGGAACUUGGGCUGGGUCCGGCUGGGAUCGGCGUGGCCUGGGCAGCCCAAGGGUUUGGGACCACAGGGCCACCGCCGCGAGCUCAUCGUGCAGAGCCCUCGUCCUGCUGGUCGCCAGGCUGGGGACAGCAGGUCCUGAUUGUCCCGGGGGAGAUGUGGGGACGAGCCCCAGGGUCUCCAGGGCCACCUCCCCACCCCAGAGCUGCAGGGAGCACCCUGCUCUGCUGGGUUUGGAACGGGGUGAGAUUCCAGCUCCUUCCAGCCCAAACCAUCCCACCGUUCUGCGCUUCCAGAGGCGGCUGGGGAGGGGAGCUGAGCCCAGGACGCGCUGGCUCUGCCCAGCUCCCACCAGGGGCCACGACAUUUGGAGUGGCACUGGGACAAAAUUCGGGAGCAAGCACGGCUGCCAGAGGCUCCCAGAGGUGACCCCAGGGACGUUUCAUUGCUCAGCACAAACCCUGCCGAGCUGCCUGAGCCCCGUUCUGCUGCCACACGAAGCCAAACAAGUCUGACGGGGUUUGUGCGGGCAGACACAAAUCCAGACUCAUUUAGGCCCUGUGAUUGUCACUUGUUUGACGCAGCAGCUGCCUCUGAGCCGAGCCACGCUCGCAGCACAGCUCCUCUGACAUCCCCCAAGCUGGUCCCCGCCAGGAUCGGGCCCUCUGCCUUCCCUGGAGCUCGAUAAAUCCAUAAAUCCCUUCUCUCCUCCGAGCUGCUUCAGCCCCCGGUGACGGUGGCUGAUGAAGGGGAUGAGCCCGCCCCGCUGAUCGCCGCCCGGCACGGGCAGAGCCUGCAGGUGAUGUGGGCUGUGCAGGGAAAGCAUCCUCACCCCUCCCAUCCCGGGAAAAUCUGCUGCUCCUCCCCUCCCCAAGGCAGAACCUGAUCCAUCCCUGCUUUUCUCCUGAAGAAGCACAGGCAGCAAAGCCCAGCCUCCUUUCAUCCCUGCAAAUUCCUUGGAGUCAGGUAAGCCCAGCUCAGACCCCUAACCCUGGAUCUGUGACAAACCCAAAUCACCCAAAAAUCCCCGAAUCAUCACUCCCCUGCUCGCUCCACCUCUCCUGAAUCUCACGGACCGGCUCAGCCUCCAUCCCUUCCUCCUUCCCCCUCCUCCAGACAAAAGCCUGGGAUGGGGAAGCUGCAGCAGGAGGGUUCCAGCAUCACCCAAACCCAGAGAGGGAUGGAGCCAGGAGCCUCCUCCUGCUCCUGUCUCCCCUCCUGCCCACCCAGCAGGAGGAGGGCAGCGAGCUGGGCCUCCUGCAGCACAUCCCCCUUGGCUCCACGGAGCCCUAACAGGAAUUUCAGCCUCCCAGCAGCUUUUCCCUGCCCCACACACCCCCGUGGAUGUGGGGCCAGGGAGAACCUGCAGCCCCAGCUGCUCUGCCAGGCUGGGCACUGCCAGCAUCCCUCCUCCCCUCCCCUGGAGCAACUCCCUGCUGCAGGAGUUAUCUGCUCCCCAGCAGGACAGACGGCCAUGGAAGUGUCCCCAGGACAGCUGUCACCUCCUUGUGGCCUCCCCAAAUCCCAGCCUCGUCCUCUGGGACGCACAUUCAUCCUAUCUAGUGCAUUAGAGGAACUCCACUGGGCCAAAUCCAGCUGUCCUGGUGUAAAUCCAGAGCACCCCAGGGGUGAGCUGAGCACCCUGAAACACUCUGGGUUUCCAGCAGGGUUUGGGACUGGGAGCUGUCCCAGGAGCAGCAGCUGUGAAGGGUCUGGAGUUGGCCCCUCCUGUGCUGUUUGCUGAUGUGUAAACCCACAGCAUUGACCCCUUUUGUGCAGUUAUUCCUGAUUUACACCAGGGCAGGGCAGAACCAGCAGCCCUGAGCUGCCCAACUGUGUGGUUCCCAUUCCUGUGGGUCUGACUCCACACCUGGGGGGCUCAGGCCCCCAGUUCCAGGCAUUGCAAUAAAUCCAUCAAAUACAUUCUGUGUCAGUGGUGAUUUGGCUUCCCCUUUCCCCCCACCCCCCCCAGCCCCCCCCCCCCCCCCCCCCCCCCCCCCCCCCCCCCCCCCCCCCCCCCCCCCCCCCCCCCCCCCCCCCCCCCCCCCCCCCCCCCCCCCCCCCCCCCCCCCCCCCCCCC
Long non-coding RNA from Ficedula albicollis (Collared flycatcher), 3500 nucleotides. NCBI's taxonomy places the organism in Eukaryota, Metazoa, Chordata, Aves, Passeriformes, Muscicapidae. The record is from Ensembl.